AUUGAACGCUGGCGGCAGGCUUAACACAUGCAAGUCGAGCGGUAACAGAGAGAAGCUUGCUUCUCUGCUGACGAGCGGCGGACGGGUGAGUAAUGCCUAGGAAUCUGCCUAGUAGGGGGGGAUAACUUGCCGAAAGGUAAGCUAAUACCGCAUACGUCCUACGGGAGAAAGGAGGGGACCUUCGGGCCUUUCGCUAUUAGAUGAGCCUAGAUCGGAUUAGUUAGUUGGUGAGGUAAUGGCUCACCAAGGCCGCGAUCCGUAACUGGUCUGUGCGGAUGAUGAAUCACACGGCAACGGAGACUAGGCCCAGACUCCGACGGGAGGCAGCAGUGGGGAAUAUUGGACAAUGGGGGUAGCCAUGAAGCAGCCAUGGCGGGUGUGUGAAGAAGGGCUUAUUACUUUCAAGCGCUUUAGGUUGGGAGAAAGAGCUGUUAACUCGUAUUUGGCCGUAUUGACGUUACUGACAGAAUAAACCGCGGAUCUGAUCGAGGAAGCCACCGCCGUAA
Molecule: ribosomal RNA, 506 nt
Filed under: uncultured bacterium
Lineage: Bacteria
Description: partial 16S ribosomal RNA
Rfam family: Bacterial small subunit ribosomal RNA
Source: RNAcentral